This 470-nucleotide long non-coding RNA is filed under the name Phascolarctos cinereus (koala). RNAcentral describes it as "lncRNA (ENSPCIG00000035841.1)". Lineage: Eukaryota; Metazoa; Chordata; Mammalia; Diprotodontia; Phascolarctidae. The record is from RNAcentral.
GAGAUUAUAGAAAGCUUUGAAAACCAGACAGGAAUUUGGACUCACCAUGGAUAAGAAAGAGCCUUAAUGGAUUAUUAAGCAAGAAAAUGACAGAUUGAUCUCCUUGGUAUUUCCAGUAUCUAAAUAGGAUGUGAUCUCCCAGCUGGAGCAAGGGGAUGAACCAAGGGUCCUGGAUACACAAGCAGCAGAGGGGAAAGACAUCCUAAGCCAUGACUAUUCAGGUGCCAAAGAAGAACUAAACCAUUUCUCAACUUCAACAUAUAUGUCAUCAUAUAAGACAAUCAUCUUGUGGUCCCUAGUACUAGAAUUCAAUAAAGUGGAGGUGCCAACCAAUUUCUUGCCUUCUCUUACUGUUCCAUGAAUAAAUCUUUUUGACAUAAAAAUUGGCCAAGGAUUUUUUGAUAGAUACUGCCACCAAUCAUAUUUAUCAAUACCUAGAAACAUUUUAAUUACCAGUUUGUUGUAUGCUG